UGGUGGAGCGAUUUGUCUGGUCAAUUCCGAUAACGAACGAGACUCUAGCCUACUAAAUAGUUCGGGGACCCCCACAAAGGGGCCCCGCUUCAACUUCUUAGAGGGACGGGUGGCGUUUAGCCACACGAGAUUGAGCAAUAACA
This 143-nucleotide ribosomal RNA is filed under the name uncultured eukaryote. RNAcentral's name for it is "partial 18S ribosomal RNA". It matches the Rfam family "Eukaryotic small subunit ribosomal RNA", at positions 1299 to 1458 of the family's 1831-position model. The record is from RNAcentral.